AGAACGAACGCUGGCGGCAUGCCUAACACAUGCAAGUCGAACGAGAUCCUUCGGGGUCUAGUGGCGCACGGGUGCGUAACGCGUGGGAAUCUGCCCUUAGGUACGGAAUAACUCAGGGAAACUUGUGCUAAUACCGUAUGAUGUCUUCGGACCAAAGAUUUAUCGCCUAGGGGAUGAGCCCGCGUAGGAUUAGCUAGUUGGUGGGGUAAAGGCCUACCAAGGCUACGAUCCUUAGCUGGUCUGAGAGGAUGAUCAGCCACACUGGGACUGAGACACGGCCCAGACUCCUACGGGAGGCAGCAGUGGGGAAUAUUGGACAAUGGGCGAAAGCCUGAUCCAGCAAUGCCGCGUGAGUGAAGAAGGCCUUCGGGUUGUAAAGCUCUUUACCCGGGAAGAUAAUGACUGUACCGGGAGAAUAAGCCCCGGCUAACUCCGUGCCAGCAGCCGC
Molecule: ribosomal RNA, 448 nt
Filed under: uncultured bacterium
Lineage: Bacteria
Description: SSU rRNA
Rfam family: Bacterial small subunit ribosomal RNA
Source: RNAcentral